GUCUAUGGCCAUACCACCCUGAACGUGCCUGAUCUCCGAUCUCGGAAGCUAAGCAGGGUUGGGCCUGGUUGGUACUUGGAUGGGAGACCACCUGGGACUACUGGGCGCCUGUAGUCC
Molecule: ribosomal RNA, 117 nt
Filed under: Propithecus coquereli (Coquerel's sifaka)
Lineage: Eukaryota; Metazoa; Chordata; Mammalia; Primates; Indriidae
Source: RNAcentral